Molecule: ribosomal RNA, 367 nt
Filed under: Flammeovirgaceae bacterium
Lineage: Bacteria; Pseudomonadati; Bacteroidota; Cytophagia; Cytophagales; Flammeovirgaceae
Description: bacterial LSU rRNA
Rfam family: Bacterial large subunit ribosomal RNA
Source: RNAcentral
CCUGGGGCUGGAGAAGGUCCCAAGGGUUGGGCUGUUCGCCCAUUAAAGUGGCACGCGAGCUGGGUUCAGAACGUCGUGAGACAGUUCGGUCCCUAUCUGUUGUGAUCGUUAGAAGCUUGAGAGGACCUGACUCUAGUACGAGAGGACCGAGUUGGACAAACCUCUAGUGUACCGGUUGUAGUGCCAACUGCACCGCCGGGUAGCUACGUUUGGAAGAGAUAAGCACUGAAAGCAUCUAAGUGCGAAGCUCACCUCAAGAUGAGGCUUCUUUUAAGGGACGUUCAAGACUAGGACGUUGAUAGGCUGUAAGUGUAAAGACAGAAAUGUCAAAGCUGAGCAGUACUAAUUACCCGUAACUUCCUCACAA